RNAcentral lists this ribosomal RNA (315 nucleotides) under uncultured eukaryote. Its description in RNAcentral is "partial 18S ribosomal RNA". It matches the Rfam family "Eukaryotic small subunit ribosomal RNA", at positions 1470 to 1796 of the family's 1831-position model. The record is from RNAcentral.
CCCUUAGACGUUCUGGGCCGCACGCGCGCUACACUGACCAGUGCAACAAGCAUCCGUCCUUGGCCGACAGGCCCGGGCAAUCUUUGAACGCUGGUCGUGAUGGGGAUAGACUUUUGCAAUUUUUGGUCUUCAACGAGGAAUUCCUAGUAAACGCAAGUCAUCAACUUGCAUUGAUUACGUCCCUGCCCUUUGUACACACCGCCCGUCGCACCUACCGAUUGAAUGGUCCGGUGAAGCCUCCGGAUUGGCGCGCACCUCGGUGCCGCCGAGAAGUUGGCUAAACCUUACCAUUUAGAGAAAGGUGAAGUCGUAACA